GAACGCUGGCGGCGUGCUUAACACAUGCAAGUCGAACGGAGUUUUUAACGGAAGUUUUCGGAUGGAAGUUUAAAACUUAGUGGCGGACGGGUGAGUAACGCGUGGGUAACCUGCCUCAUACAGGGGGAUAACAGUUAGAAAUGACUGCUAACACCGCAUAAUAUAGCGAAACCGCAUGAUUUUUGCUAUCAAAUAUUUAUAGGUAUGAGAUGGGCCCGCGUCUGAUUAGCUAGUUGGUGGGGUAAAAGCCUACCAAGGCGACGAUCAGUAGCCGGCUUGAGAGAGUGACCGGCCACAUUGGGACUGAGACACGGCCCAAACUCCUACGGGAGGCAGCAGUGGGGAAUAUUGGACAAUGGGGGAAACCCUGAUCCAGCGAACCGCCGCGUGAGUGAAGAAGUAUUUCGGUAUGUAAAGCUCUAUCAGCAGGGAAGAUAAUGACAGUACCUGACUAAGAAGCCCCGGCUAACUACGUGCCAGCAGCGGC
RNAcentral lists this ribosomal RNA (487 nucleotides) under uncultured bacterium. RNAcentral's name for it is "bacterial SSU rRNA". It matches the Rfam family "Bacterial small subunit ribosomal RNA", at positions 31 to 518 of the family's 1533-position model. The record is from RNAcentral.